This 791-nucleotide long non-coding RNA is filed under the name Macaca mulatta (Rhesus monkey). Its description in RNAcentral is "lncRNA (ENSMMUG00000062857.1)". Lineage: Eukaryota; Metazoa; Chordata; Mammalia; Primates; Cercopithecidae. The record is from RNAcentral.
UUUAUAUAGAUCCUUGCAUCUUUAAAAAAAAAUUUAAUUUAACUUAAUUUUAAGUUCCAGGAUACAUGUGCAAGUUUGUUACAUGGGUAAAGAUCCUUGCAUCUUUAAAGGUAACUGGCAAAAAUACUCUCCAUGUGUAAUCUUUAACUCACUCUAGAAAACCUGUCCAAUUCUUUUCAAAUGAAAUUGCAAUCUAGUCAAAACUAAGUAUCCCUUUAGAAACAGAAUAGAGGAGUAAAGAAGAUUAAAAAAGAAAACGGUCCAAAAUGUGACUCAUUCCUCUGGUUUGAGGUUUUUAAAAAGACAUGCAAGGAAGAGCAGAAUAUAGAUUUUCAUUUUGUGUGCAGGGCACUUUGCUGAAGUGGAGCCAGCCUCCUGAGAAGUGCCUGGAAGAUUGGCUUGGAGUAUUCUGAAGUGGUUUGGGGCUGCCCAGAGACUCAUGGGCAUGGUACAGUGACUCCUGCCAGGGACUCCUCUGGCCUCAGAGGUAGGUUCUGAAAUGAGGACUUGUGCUCAUGCCAGGCCCUGUUGCUAAGACAGCUUCUGUGUGUUAUUGUGUGGGAAAAGGAGGUUCAGCUCCGUGGCCCACCUCCCAAUCACUGGGAGAGGAAUGUGAAAGGCAGAGCAGGGGACCUGGAGGAGGAAUGCGCAGUGAUGGAAGUGCAAAGGCAGGAGAUGGGUCUGGAAAAGACUCCAGUCAUCGUCACUUCCAGGGCAGAAGAAGCCAUAGUCAAGGAGCCUUUCCCAUAGUUGUGGGAAAGAAGAUGGAUAAAGUUAUUGUUAAUCUAUGA